UCCGGGCGGACGCCGAGUCCUGCCGCCGUCCGGAUGCCUGGUCGACAGGAGUGGAUCGGCAGGAGUGGAGGACCCGAGCACAACGGGCCGGCCGGAGUUCCGGACGGCCCUCGGGGUGAAGCCGCUGCACGCGGCCGGGCAACUUCGCCAGCCCGAACCCGACAGGUCAUCCUUCACAGGCGGCUGACGAAGGGUUG
This is a non-coding RNA of Streptomyces pratensis ATCC 33331, 197 nucleotides long. The record is from Rfam. NCBI's taxonomy places the organism in Bacteria, Bacillati, Actinomycetota, Actinomycetes, Kitasatosporales, Streptomycetaceae.